GUCCCUGUAGUGCAAUGGAUAGCGCGUUGAGCUUCUAACCCAAAUGUCAUGGGUUCGAAUUCUACCUGGGAUG
Molecule: non-coding RNA, 73 nt
Organism: Trichonephila inaurata madagascariensis
Lineage: Eukaryota; Metazoa; Arthropoda; Arachnida; Araneae; Nephilidae
Source: the annotation of a GenBank genome assembly